Molecule: small RNA, 125 nt
Filed under: Marmota monax (woodchuck)
Lineage: Eukaryota; Metazoa; Chordata; Mammalia; Rodentia; Sciuridae
Source: RNAcentral
GCCGGGUGCAGUGGCGCAUGCCUGUAAUCCCAGCAGCUUGGGAGGUUGAAGCAGGAGAAUGGCGAGUUCAAAGCCAGCCUCAGCAAAAGCAAGGCUCUAAGCAACUCAGUGAGACCCUGUCUCUA